RNAcentral lists this ribosomal RNA (552 nucleotides) under uncultured Actinomycetes bacterium. RNAcentral's name for it is "bacterial SSU rRNA". It matches the Rfam family "Bacterial small subunit ribosomal RNA", at positions 255 to 819 of the family's 1533-position model. Lineage: Bacteria; Bacillati; Actinomycetota; Actinomycetes. The record is from RNAcentral.
AGGUAACGGCUACCCAAGGCGACGACGGGUAGCCGGCCUGAGAGGGCGACCGGCCACACUGGGACUGAGACACGGCCCAGACUCCUACGGGAGGCAGCAGUGGGGAAUAUUGCACAAUGGGCGCAAGCCUGAUGCAGCGACGCCGCGUGAGGGAUGACGGCCUUCGGGUUGUAAACCUCUUUCAGCAGGGAAGAAGCGCAAGUGACGGUACCUGCAGAAGAAGCGCCGGCUAACUACGUGCCAGCAGCCGCGGUAAUACGUAGGGCGCGAGCGUUGUCCGGAAUUAUUGGGCGUAAAGAGCUCGUAGGCGGCUUGUCGCGUCGGUUGUGAAAGCCCGGGGCUUAACCCCGGGUCUGCAGUCGAUACGGGCAGGCUAGAGUUCGGUAGGGGAGAUCGGAAUUCCUGGUGUAGCGGUGAAAUGCGCAGAUAUCAGGAGGAACACCGGUGGCGAAGGCGGAUCUCUGGGCCGAUACUGACGCUGAGGAGCGAAAGCGUGGGGAGCGAACAGGAUUAGAUACCCUGGUAGUCCACGCCGUAAACGUUGGGCGCUAG